UACAGAGGUCUCAAGCGUUGUUCGGAUUCAUUGGGCGUAAAGGGUGCGUAGGUGGCGCCAUAAGUCAGGUGUGAAAUCUCGGGGCUUAACUCCGAAACUGCAUUUGAUACUGUGGUGCUUGAGGACUGGAGAGGAGACUGGAAUUCACGGUGUAGCAGUGAAAUGCGUAGAUAUCGUGAGGAAGACCAGUGGCGAAGGCGGGUCUCUGGACAGUUCCUGACACUGAGGCACGAAGGCCAGGGGAGCAAACGGG
This 253-nucleotide ribosomal RNA is filed under the name uncultured bacterium. Its description in RNAcentral is "partial 16S ribosomal RNA". It matches the Rfam family "Bacterial small subunit ribosomal RNA", at positions 524 to 776 of the family's 1533-position model. The record is from RNAcentral.